CGCAGCCGCGGUAAUUCCAGCUCCAAUAGCGUAUAUUAAAGUUGUUGCAGUUAAAAAGCUCGUAGUUGAACUUCGGGGUUUACUCAUUGGUCAGGCUUAAUUGUCUGUACUGGUGAGAUGAAUCUCUACCUUCUGAGGAACUUUCAUGCCAUUUAUUUGGUGUGAUUGGAAAUCAGGACUGUUACUUUGAAAAAAUUAGAGUGUUUAAAGCAGGCUAACGUCUGAAUACAUUAGCAUGGAAUAAUGAAAUAGGACGGAUUGAUUCUAUUUCGUUGGUUUCUAGGGUCACCGUAAUGAUUAAUAGGGAUAGUUGGGGGCAUUAGUAUUCAAUUGUCAGAGGUGAAAUUCUUGGAUUUAUUGAAGACUAACUACUGCGAAAGCAUUUGUCCAAGGAUGUUUUCAUUAAUCAAGAACGAAAGUUAGGGGAUCGAAGACGAUCAGAUACCGUCGUAGUCUUAACCAUAAACUAUGCCGACUAGGGAUCGGAUGAUGUAAUUUUUUAAUGACUCAUUCGGCGACC
This 520-nucleotide ribosomal RNA is filed under the name uncultured Diversispora. Its description in RNAcentral is "SSU rRNA". It matches the Rfam family "Eukaryotic small subunit ribosomal RNA", at positions 569 to 1088 of the family's 1831-position model. Lineage: Eukaryota; Fungi; Glomeromycota; Glomeromycetes; Diversisporales; Diversisporaceae. The record is from RNAcentral.